UCGAUAGAGGCGCGUAGCAUCAAGAGUAACGGCGCAAGUACGGUCUGCCGAAGACCGCGCCGCGAAAGGGGUAUACGCCGAAGGCGGAGUUUGGCAAACUUCGUGCUGGGAGACGGGAAUAAGAUCCCUUCUACUGUCGCAGAAAUGCGGAGAGCUAUCAG
This 161-nucleotide non-coding RNA is filed under the name bovine gut metagenome. RNAcentral describes it as "Lysine riboswitch". It matches the Rfam family "Lysine riboswitch aptamer". From Rfam's summary of the family: Riboswitches are metabolite binding domains within certain messenger RNAs that serve as precision sensors for their corresponding targets. The record is from RNAcentral.